AUUGCUUCUUAGCCUUUUGGCUAAGAUCAAGUGUAGACUUUAUGAUAAACAUUUUGUUCAUUACCUUGAAUAUUUUAUAAUACUUUUUUUUCCCAGAAAAGAAAACACCUGCUAUAGUUUUUUCUCUUGUUUUAUCCCCAGGAUUUCCCCUUGGGACUGGUUAAUAAAAAACAUG
Callithrix jacchus (white-tufted-ear marmoset) is the source of this 175-nucleotide small nuclear RNA. Its record names the gene U2. It matches the Rfam family "U2 spliceosomal RNA". Rfam says of the family: U2 is a small nuclear RNA (snRNA) component of the spliceosome (involved in pre-mRNA splicing). Complementary binding between U2 snRNA (in an area lying towards the 5' end but 3' to hairpin I) and the branchpoint sequence (BPS) of the intron results the bulging out of an unpaired adenosine, on the BPS, which initiates a nucleophilic attack at the intronic 5' splice site, thus starting the first of two transesterification reactions that mediate splicing. The record is from Ensembl. NCBI's taxonomy places the organism in Eukaryota, Metazoa, Chordata, Mammalia, Primates, Cebidae.